GGGCAAUUAGCUCAGUGGUUAGAGCGCUUCGUUGACAUCGAAGAGGCCACUGGUCCGAUUCCAGUAUUGCCCA
This 73-nucleotide transfer RNA is filed under the name Spirochaetia bacterium. RNAcentral describes it as "tRNA-Val". It matches the Rfam family "tRNA". From Rfam's summary of the family: Transfer RNA (tRNA) molecules are approximately 80 nucleotides in length. Their secondary structure includes four short double-helical elements and three loops (D, anti-codon, and T loops). Further hydrogen bonds mediate the characteristic L-shaped molecular structure. tRNAs have two regions of fundamental functional importance: the anti-codon, which is responsible for specific mRNA codon recognition, and the 3' end, to which the tRNAs corresponding amino acid is attached (by aminoacyl-tRNA synthetases). tRNAs cope with the degeneracy of the genetic code in two manners: having more than one tRNA (with a specific anti-codon) for a particular amino acid; and 'wobble' base-pairing, i.e. permitting non-standard base-pairing at the 3rd anti-codon position. The record is from RNAcentral. Lineage: Bacteria; Pseudomonadati; Spirochaetota; Spirochaetia.